Molecule: ribosomal RNA, 388 nt
Filed under: uncultured bacterium
Lineage: Bacteria
Description: bacterial SSU rRNA
Rfam family: Bacterial small subunit ribosomal RNA
Source: RNAcentral
AUUGAACGCUGGCGGCAUGCUUUACACAUGCAAGUCGAACGGUAACAGGGAGCUUGCUCCGCUGACGAGUGGCGAACGGGUGAGUAAUGCAUCGGAACAUGCCCAGUCAUGGGGGAUAACUACGCGAAAGCGUAGCUAAUACCGCAUACGCCCUGAGGGGGAAAGUGGGGGGGUCUUAGGACCUCACGUGAUUGGAGUGGCCGAUGUCAGAUUAGCUAGUUGGUGAGGUAAAGGCUCACCAAGGCGACGAUCUGUAGCGGGUCUGAGAGGAUGAUCCGCCACACUGGGACUGAGACACGGCCCAGACUCCUACGGGAGGCAGCAGUGGGGAAUUUUGGACAAUGGGCGAAAGCCUGAUCCAGCCAUGCCGCGUGAGUGAAGAAGGCCU